This 486-nucleotide ribosomal RNA is filed under the name uncultured bacterium. RNAcentral's name for it is "partial 16S ribosomal RNA". It matches the Rfam family "Bacterial small subunit ribosomal RNA", at positions 30 to 507 of the family's 1533-position model. The record is from RNAcentral.
AUUGAACGCUGGCGGCAUGCCUUACACAUGCAAGUCGAACGGCAGCACGGGUGCUUGCCCCUGGUGGCGAGUGGCGAACGGGUGAGUAAUACAUCGGAACAUGUCCUGUAGUGGGGGAUAGCCCGGCGAAAGCCGGAUUAAUACCGCAUACGAUCUACGGAUGAAAGCGGGGGACCUUCGGGCCUCGCGCUAUAGGGUUGGCCGAUGGCUGAUUAGCUAGUUGGUGGGGUAAAGGCCUACCAAGGCGACGAUCAGUAGCUGGUCUGAGAGGACGACCAGCCACACUGGGACUGAGACACGGCCCAGACUCCUACGGGAGGCAGCAGUGGGGAAUUUUGGACAAUGGGCGAAAGCCUGAUCCAGCAAUGCCGCAUGUGUGAAGAAGGCCUUCGGGUUGUAAAGCACUUUUGUCCGGAAAGAAAUCCUUGGCCCUAAUACGGUCGGGGGAUGACGGUACCGGAAGAAUAAGCACCGGCUAACUACGUG